AGAGUUUGAUCUUGGCUCAGGACGAACGCUGGCGGCGUGCUUAACACAUGCAAGUCGAACGGGGUGUUUAUUUCGGUAAACACCAAGUGGCGAACGGGUGAGUAACGCGUAAGCAAUCUACCUUCAAGAUGGGGACAACACUUCGAAAGGGGUGCUAAUACCGAAUGAAUGUAAGAGAAUCGCAUGAUAAACUUACUAAAGGAGGCCUCUGACAUAAGCUUCCGCUUGAAGAUGAGCUUGCGUCUGAUUAGCUAGUUGGUGAGGGUAAAGGCCCACCAAGGCGACGAUCAGUAGCCGGUCUGAGAGGAUGAACGGCCACAUUGGGACUGAGACACGGCCCAGACUCCUACGGGAGGCAGCAGUGGGGAAUCUUCCGCAAUGGGCGAAAGCCUGACGGAGCAACGCCGCGUGAACGAUGAAGGUCUUAGGAUCGUAAAGUUCUGUUGUUAGGGACGAAGGAUAAGGAUUAUAAUACAGUCUUUGUUUGACGGUACCUAACGAGGAAGCCACGGCUAACUACGUGCCAGCAGCCGCGGUAAUACGUAGGCGGCAAGCGUUGUCCGGAAUUAUUGGGCGUAAAGGGAGCGCAGGCGGGAAACUAAGCGGAUCUUAAAAGUGCGGGGCUCAACCCCGUGAUGGGGUCCGAACUGGUUUUCUUGAGUGCAGGAGAGGAAAGCGGAAUUCCCAGUGUAGCGGUGAAAUGCGUAGAUAUUGGGAAGAACACCAGUGGCGAAGGCGGCUUUCUGGACUGUAACUGACGCUGAGGCUCGAAAGCUAGGGUAGCGAACGGGAUUAGAUACCCUGGUAGUC
Molecule: ribosomal RNA, 810 nt
Filed under: uncultured bacterium
Lineage: Bacteria
Description: bacterial SSU rRNA
Rfam family: Bacterial small subunit ribosomal RNA
Source: RNAcentral